RNAcentral lists this ribosomal RNA (274 nucleotides) under uncultured bacterium. RNAcentral's name for it is "partial 16S ribosomal RNA". It matches the Rfam family "Archaeal small subunit ribosomal RNA", at positions 473 to 747 of the family's 1478-position model. The record is from RNAcentral.
AAACCAGCACCUCAAGUGGUCAGGAGGUUUAUUGGGCCUAAAGCAUCUGUAGCCUGAUCUAUAAGUUUCCGGUUAAAUCCACAUGCUCAACAUUUGGGCUGCCGGAAAAACUGUAGAUCUAGGGAGUGGGAGAGGUAGACGGUACUCGGUAGGAAGGGGUAAAAUCCUUUGAUCUAUUGAUGACCACCAGUGGCGAAGGCGGUCUACCAGAACACGUUCGACGGUGAGGGAUGAAAGCUGGGGGAGCAAACCGGAUUAGAUACCCGAGUAGUCC